Molecule: ribosomal RNA, 253 nt
Filed under: uncultured bacterium
Lineage: Bacteria
Description: partial 16S ribosomal RNA
Rfam family: Bacterial small subunit ribosomal RNA
Source: RNAcentral
UACGUAGGGACCAAGCGUUGUUCGGAUUUACUGGGCGUAAAGGGCGCGUAGGCGGCGUGACAAGUCACUUGUGAAAUCUCCGGGCUUAACUCGGAACGGCCAAGUGAAACUGUCAUGCUAGAGUGCAGAAGGGGCAAUCGGAAUUCUUGGUGUAGCGGUGAAAUGCGUAGAUAUCAAGAGGAACACCUGAGGUGAAGACGGGUUGCUGGGCUGACACUGACGCUGAGGCGCGAAAGCGUGGGGAGCAAACAGG